Mauremys reevesii (Reeves's turtle) is the source of this 3370-nucleotide long non-coding RNA. RefSeq lists it as uncharacterized. NCBI's taxonomy places the organism in Eukaryota, Metazoa, Chordata, Testudines, Geoemydidae. The record is from RefSeq and is a predicted model, not a curated record. The transcript is spliced from 3 exons.
CGGGGGAGCGCGGGCUGCGUGCCGGGUGUGGCGGGGUGUGCUCGGGCCGGGGCAGCGGGGCUCCCUUAGCUGUAGGCACGCACAGGCCGAGGCCCCACCGGCGCGCUGCCGCCCAGACCCAGCUCCCCAUUAAAACGCGGCAAAACCCGGCCUUCUGAGAGGGUUUUUAAAGAGCGGCAAACAGAGAAAAUAGUAGGUGUGUGCUGUAUAGAGGUAAAUUGGGCUGAGCCAGUCUGCCUUUCUCCAGGGUCUCCAUGUCAUUUACAAUGGAAUGAAGUUAUCGUCAUUAUCUUCAUUUUGCAGAUGGGGAAGACUGGGGCACAAGGAAGAGAAGUGACUUCCCCUGGUGUUACAGCGUAUCUGAGAACAGAACACACACUCCUAACUCUCAGUCCAAUGCCGUAUUUACUAGAGCAUAUAAAGCCUCACCAGAAAGCAGAUCCAAUGCAAUUACAAUACGGAUAAUCUCAUUAACUCUUUAGCCAAUCCCAUUCUCAAACUUUCAGGCUGUUGUAAAGCUACAGGAAAUAUAUUUUAGAAGAGAUACAUCCAUCUUCAUUACACUGCUCUCUUUCCUAUUAAUUUAUUUGUUGGCCAAACCCUGCUUGUCUUACUUGUGAGCAAGUAAAUGGGAAUACAGCGGAAAGACUUCACCCUGAAUGUUAUAGUUGCAGGAAGGGAGAAACCACAACCCAUUAUUGGGAGCUCCGGAAAUGAAUUGGUGUGUAGUGUUAUUGCAAUGAUUAUUAAUUGAAUUCCACUGAAAACAGCUAGGGAUUACAACAUCCUGAAUGUGAACUCAGAGGACAAAGACGUGCACAGUUGAGCUUUUAGUCAGAUGGAAACAGUUGAAGAUGAGAUGCAAGCUCUCUGAGCCUCAAUUAUAAACAGGGUCCCUGAAAAUCACCAGUGUUUCAUGGAUCAUUUCUGCAGGAGCAUUUUUAUAGAUUUGUUGUCAGUUAUGCAUCACUCGUAUGUGUUGGCAGAAACCACUGACUAUAAAUUUUCAGAAAACUCAACAUCUUAUGUGCAUGUAAAGAAAGUUAGAGUUCCAGCCAACUAGCACAUAAGCAACAUUUAAUGAUUGUAAUGUCAGCAGGUGAUUUGAAAUUUCAUUAAACCCACUCCCCUUUUAAUAUUCCUGGUGGUUUGAAAUAUGUUUUGGAAUCUCAAAGUGCUGCAUGUUUGGUUCUGCAGCUGAGGAAGCUGAGGUUGCAACAGUGAAGUUACUGUAUGACCUUUGGCAUGCUGGGAAAUAUAAGCCAAGACUCCUGACUCCCAGCUCUCUACUUUAGAAACAAAGCAAUAAUGGUAAUCCCUAAAACUGAAUGGAGGCUGGGAGAGGAAGAGAGGCAUGUUUUAAAACAGACCUCCCCAUUUGUUCAUUCUCCUGCAUACUGCUUUCUGUCUUCCUCACCCUCUUCCCUUCCAUUUCUCCUUCCCCUUCAUUUUCUUCCCAACAGUCUUCUAGUUUUGCAGACUCUCACAUGUCCUAUCUCCCCGUUUCAGAAACACUGGAUAAGCCAGCAGUGAGAAGAGACACAGUUAAGAGAUUGCUGUCAGUGUUUCGUACAUUCCAUUUCAGGAAUCAGACAAAGCUCAUUUCUGAAGCCUGCUCUGAAUUCUGAAAAUCCAGGGGACUCUGGUUAUAACAAAGUAGUCAUAGCAUUCUGUGCAGCCGGCCCACAGUACUCUUUAAAAAUGAUUACCCUGUCUUCAGCUUCUUAACUAGGAUUGUUACAGCUGUCUCUUAGCAUUUGUUUUCUUCCUUGUUCUUUUAGCCAUUCUUUAGCCUGAAAGGCAGAUGAAAGCCCAGUGAUUAUUCACCGUUUCUAUAUAUAGCUACAACAUAUAUCAAUAGAGCAAGGGAGAAACUUAAGGACAAGGGAAACUUUUUGUCUAUUCACUACCACUGGGAAGUAAAACAAUGUUUUUAAGCAGCUAUAUACAUGUUGCUAAUGCAUACCAUUAAUGUACAUUUUUAUAAGUAAAAGGUACAAUUUCAGGGCUUGCUCCUGCAUAACUGUAAUCCCUAAUCAUGUAAACAAGUCCCAUUUUAAGGGUUUGCAGAAUCAGGUCUUAAUUUUUAAAUAAUAAUCUGUGUAAAGUGGGCACAUUUAAAGAGCAUUCAGCAGUCAGGAUAUGCAAAACUAGAAAUCCAAAAUACUCACGGUAAUGACAAGGCUGAGAAAAGAAUUUGGAGCCAGCCCUAUUCACUUAAAUGACCACAUCCUUGCACAGCUGAAAGGGGCUUCUGGACCCCUAUGUUCAGGGUGCGUAGGUGAAGAUAGCUCCUCCCCCGAACGUUGGUUUGGUAAAAAACAAUCCAGUGAGGUAUGGCCUAGAUGUUGUUGCCUUGGUAUUCUAAAUUUCAGUUUCGAUAGAAAUUAUUUAUUUUUAAAGGAAUAAAGUUCCCUAUCCAUUUUUUCAACCCCACCACUACAGCUUCUUGCUAAAGUGACAACUAGGAAAUCAAAAUGAUUAGAAAUGGACUCAUCAAUCUUCAUUGCCCAAACAGAGUGAAAUGCACAGUAGAAAGUAACAGCAUAAAUAGUGCAUAAGAAACAAGAUUUUUUUUUAAAUUGUCCUUUAAUAAUUUAAGGCAUCAUUAGUGGCACAGGGAAGAAAAUGCAUUUAAAGAACAAGGAGCCCAAUAUUGCUGCCAUAAACAUACACAUUGAAAUCAAUGGGCAGGAAAGUGAGCCCAUGUGAAUUUUAACUUGAUAGUGUCCCCUUAGGGUUAGUGUAAAACCUUUAAGUUUGCAUUUCCUAACUCUGAGUGUUUUCAAAUGGUGUAGAAUCUCACAGUAAUGAUGGAGAAUCCCAUUGAGAGCAAUUGAUUUUUGCAAAUAACCCAGACCCUAAUUCUGCAGUUGCAUUCUUUGGGGCAAACCUUUGUACAUGUACCAAGAGCCAUUGACUUCUGUCCUAUCCCCAAAAGACACCAGAUGUGACUAAAUAUUGAGAAGCUAAGAAGAUGGUUGUCUGGAAGCUCAAAGGCAGAGGUUCCUAAAAUGACAUUAACUCUGCCAUAUUCCACAUCUUGUGUAUUUUAUUUAUUCGUUUCACAGUACAAAAAAGGGAGACAGAUAAAAAAUACUCUGCAAUGUGGCCAAGUUAACAUUACUGCCUUCUCAGUGUUACAGUGCUCAGACUAUCAAGUUGUAUGCAAACUUAGGCUAUGGAACAACAUAUUCUUGUUUGUCUCCCCAUUUCCUUCCCUUCUAUUGCUUGUUCCACUUAAUCAUUAUGUCUUGCCUUGAAUUGGACUAUAAACUUCUCAGAGCUUAGGCCCUGUAUCUUCCUACGUAUUCGUACGGCACCUAGCACAAUGGGGUCCCAUCUGGGGCUUCUGAGCACUACCAUAAUG